GACCCACUGUGGCAUAGUGGUUUGAGUGUUGGACUGUGAUUCUGGAAACCAGGGUUCAAUUCCUGGCUUGGUCA
RNAcentral lists this transfer RNA (74 nucleotides) under Phrynosoma platyrhinos (Desert horned lizard). Its description in RNAcentral is "tRNA-OTHER". The record is from RNAcentral. Lineage: Eukaryota; Metazoa; Chordata; Lepidosauria; Squamata; Phrynosomatidae.